CCUACGGGGGGCAGCAGUGGGGAAUAUUGGACAAUGGGCGAAAGCCUGAUCCAGCCAUGCCGCGUGUGUGAAGAAGGCCUUCGGGUUGUAAAGCACUUUCAGUGGGGAAGAAAGCCUUGGGGCUAAUACCCUCGAGGAAGGACAUCACCCACAGAAGAAGCACCGGCUAACUCCGUGCCAGCAGCCGCGGUAAUACGGAGGGUGCGAGCGUUAAUCGGAAUUACUGGGCGUAAAGCGCGCGUAGGCGGUCUGAUACAGCCGGUUGUGAAAGCCCCGGGCUCAACCUGGGAACGGCAUACCGGCAGGAGGGCUAGAGGGAAGGCGCGGGAUGGAGAAUCGCCGGUGUAUAGGUGCCCUGCGUAGAGAUCGGGCAGAAUGAGAGUGGAGAAGGCGGCCCUAUGGACUGAGACUGACGCGGUGGUGCGAAAGCGUGGGUAGCACACAGGAUUAGAUACCCUUGAAGUC
This 465-nucleotide ribosomal RNA is filed under the name Vreelandella stevensii. RNAcentral's name for it is "partial 16S ribosomal RNA". It matches the Rfam family "Bacterial small subunit ribosomal RNA", at positions 338 to 795 of the family's 1533-position model. The record is from RNAcentral. Lineage: Bacteria; Pseudomonadati; Pseudomonadota; Gammaproteobacteria; Oceanospirillales; Halomonadaceae.